AUAUACAGCAUGGAACAGGGCUCCACAAGGACAUGAAUACCAGGUGGCAGGGAUCACUGGGCCAUCUCUCUAAAUCACGAAUGAAACAUUUGCAACCUGUGUCUCCCAAACAUGAUAUGUCUCAAUCAUCAAAGGAUCUACAGUGACUACAAUAACCAAGUGCUACAAAAACGCUGUGACGAGGAAUCUGAACAACAGAGAUUUGAGGGAAACAAAACACUUUCGACGAAGGUCCUGCUGCUUGUCUUCAGCUUGGUACCAAUUAGAGCUUCACUGGAGGUGAAAAAAUCGCGGCAUGUCUUCCAAGGAAAAAACUGUAACUAAAUCUAUGGCAAGUUUUUGGAUUAGAAAAAUCUAGGCUUCAUGAAGAUAAGAGCAGAGCUGUGGAAAAGUAAGACAAAGAAAUCAUCCAACAAUACAAGCAACAUACAAGAGGUUUGCAGUCUAUCAAUGAAAACUGAUUAAAUUUACAUAAGUGCUAAUCUCAGAAGAUUAGUGCAUUGACAAUCUAUAGUGUGUGCAAUGGAACUUGAAAAGAGUACUACAAGACUGCCUCCUCACCAUUUCCCAAUGACCUGUACAAUUAAGCAAACGACAUAUUCUUUGAUUGCUUGUGUGUUGGCCUGGAACACUAAAUCUCAUAGUUCAUUAGUAUGCGUUGUUAGAUGUUUCAAUUCCCAGCUACGGUGUUGUCUGGAAGAAACAGCCUCAGGAGGGGCUUAUAUCACUUCUGUCCUCCUUCCCAGCCAAGUAAAGUAAAGCAAAAGAGAAACAACUUUCAAAAGGACUGAAACACUAUGGACUCAAUUUCCAUGUGCUGCACUAAAUGGGGUCCUUAGAGCAUCCCGGGCUGUCUUUGCUCUGAUUUUAUCAGAGUAAAAAAUUUAAAUUUUGCUUAUGAUAGGCUGAAGUUCUUAUAAGGAGGAGAAUUCUGGAAGAAUUUUAAAGAGACAUGAUUAAAAAUAAAUGCUGCACAUUGACAAA
RNAcentral lists this long non-coding RNA (984 nucleotides) under Homo sapiens (human). RNAcentral describes it as "long intergenic non-protein coding RNA 378". The record is from RNAcentral. Lineage: Eukaryota; Metazoa; Chordata; Mammalia; Primates; Hominidae.